CCUCAGACCAACACAGCCACUGGUGAAUGCGAGAAUUUCCUCAUAAAACACUCCAAGUACAAAUCAGCCGCGAGAACUGCACGUAGCACAAUUCAUGUCACCAGAAACUCAUGCAUUUUCCCUGUUCAGGAUGUUUCUGCAGUCCACUACCACAGCCUUACGAGACACCAAUUAUCUAAAAAUUACAUUUUGAGAAACAUUAAGGAUAGAGACCACUAAGACAAAUAGAAAAAAAAAGAAAAAGAAAGGGAAGAAGAAGUGGAAGAAAUGUAGUUAAGUGGAAGAAAUGUAGUUACAAACUACAACACCUGGAAAAUUUCAAAAUCAAUAGGUUUUUGUUUUCUGUCAGUCAGGUACUGUCCUCCUUCUAUGGUGAUCCUUGUGCAUCAGGGAGAAAGUUGCAUGGGAAAAAGAAGCAAUACCCUGCAACAGGAUCUGAUCAGGAGAGGUCCAGCAAAAAAUUAUUAAAUUCUGCAUUCUUCAGUGAAAUUAACUGCUUGCAGAAUCAAGCCCAGCAUAUUGCAGUAUGAUUUUGUCUUGCUAAUGAAUCAACGGUCUUUACACAAGAACCUUUCCCACAGAACUAUGUGUGAGACCUGGACUCCAUACUGAAAAGCACACUUGAAGAUCUGGAUGCUUUGACAUCUGAAGAAACUAGUCUAAUUUCCUCAUGAUUUCUUGGAGAUAUUCUGAAUAUUUUUCAGAAGCCAACAUUACAGGCAAGAGAGUACUGAAGCAGGAUUUCAGCUGCAGUUACAGAACAGGAGUAUUUGGCUAUUGAAAGGCAAACCUCUAGCAAACACACUGUGUGGAGUACUUGCACACUGGCAUCAGCAGCCUAGAUGCCUCAUCUUAGAGCAGAGAUCUCUCCAGUCUUCCUGACAAUGGACAAGGUUAUAAAUGGCUGAGUUCACAUUCCUUCUUGUUAGAAUAGCAAGAUGUCAACAGAAAUUGAAUCAGUUAAGCAGUGAAGAACUAAUGAAACUUCCCAAGAGGUGAUAGAAAACUCUUUUUCUUCACAAUUAGAUAAAAAAACCUGAGAAAUCACAUUAACACAAUCCCCAGAAUGAUAGUGAAAAGGGGCAAUGACUGAAGCUCAAGGAAUGCAAAAUUCUUAUCCCCAGUUGCAAUAUGAAAUGCUAUAUUAGGUCUGAAAUGCUCUGCAACAAAGCUUUCUAAUCAACAAAAAGAACCUUUAAUAUUUUUUUUAACUGAAUCUAAAACUUUCAUGAAGUAACAUCACAAAACUAGAUCAACUUAAGAGGAAACAGUACAAAAGUUUGUUCAUAACCACUGUCCAGUCAGGAAAGGUUAUUUAUUUAUUUAAACUUUACCACAAGGAAUUUUGUAUCAAUGCUUAUUGAAGUAAUUAAAGAAAAUCAUAGUGGCCCAUGAAGAAAUGACAUCUUGAGCCAAAUUUUCUGUAUGAUAGUUUUUCCUCUGCAGUCACUAACUACAGAAAUAGCUCAUUUGUCUUCAUUUUUUUUGCAGUUGCUGUUGAACUGUUCCCCCCAAAACAGUAAAAAAAUGCAAUACAAUAACGUGUGCUUUUCUUCUUCAUGUUUCUGAUGAGCUUACUCAUAAAGCAACGAUACAUUAUUCAUUAUUACAUGCACUGUUUUCCUAACUCCAACCUGCUGGAAACUAAGACAGCUAAGGAGUAUAGGAUUGGAUUUUAAUUUCUUAAAAGCAAAAUCAUAGAAGAUAUGGUUUUACUUAUGUUUUCAGGAAGGAUUGGUAGUUAAAAUAUUUUUAAAAGGAAUUGCAUUUUGAAGAAUACUGAAAUAUAGGUCAAAGUGCUUCUCAGAUCUCCAGAUUAUUUCCUUAAAUGGAAAACAAAUCUCUAGUCCAGUUUCAUAAACGCCAUAAUUCAUUUUUAAGAUUUGGAUUCCUGAAACUGCUGGAAUGUUGAAGUUCAUCAAGUCUUCACGUCUCACAGCCAAGGAGCACUUUAACCAAUCUUAUCUCCAGGAAUCAGGACUGUUCUCUUUGUAAAAAGUUCAAGAAUAAAUAAAAGGCAAGUAUGUUUUCUUGACCUCAGCCAAGAGAGAAAUAUUAGCUCUACAUAUUAACUCUGGUUAGAGACGUAUGUACAUAGAGACCAUACAUAUAUACAGAGCACUUCAGAAGGUCUACAGCUCUCUGUUUUAUAUUAGAGCCUUGCCAGUCACAAGAAGAAUUUCUUCAGGUCAUCCAGACCACAUGAAAUGACUUAGUACCCUGAAACUAACCAAAAAUCUGGGCCUCCAUCAAAAUCUUUCCCUAUAAGCAAAUCAUUUCAGUGAAGACUAGCAGCAGCUACAAAGUCUCAUGCUUAGGUAUGGGUGCCACUUCACAGUGAAUUCUGUUAAUGAUGCUUGUUAUCUUGUUGGACUGAUGAUAUCAGCAAAUGAUGAGAUUUCUUCAGCCCAAGGGGGCUAGAAAAUAUCUAUUCCAUUGAACUUUAAAAGGCAGACCUGUCAAAGGGCAAGUCCCUGGGGCAGACAGACUGGAUGGCAAUAACAUCCAGCGUCAGCUUACUGGGACAAGGAUAUGACCUAACUCCAAAUGAGCAGGUGGCUAGAUCAAAUUCUUCCCCAUUACCAAUUCACAGGAAAUAAGCUCUGUAAGAACUGCUCCUCCAGUAGUACAUCAUAUCAAAUGUAUUUGUAACAAAUACUGAUCUGAUCCAAUGCAGCUGCAGGUGCUUUGAUAGCCAAUUAGAUAAGGUCCCUCCAGCGCUUCCCUUAGGAAUCCCACCAAUGUCUUCAAUGCCCAAAAUAAAACCCCAAUGAUCUGUUCACUUGGUCCAUCUACAAAAUUACUUAUUGAACUCCUACACAGUAAAAAACUAUGGAAGAGGGAGCUUUUCAAGUGAUUUGUAUCUUCUUUAAAUACACAUACAAACUAACUUCUGUAUUGCUUUGUGAUAACAGUCAGUCCAAGACUGGACAGUGGAUGAAAAAAAACCCAAACCAAACAAACACCAUCCAGAAGCUACAAUACUGGUUAUCAGCCUGCUCCAUCAUUUUCCACACUUACCCUCACCUUCUGAUACUUUCAAGCAAAUACAUUUAUCCAUGCUCACUACUAUGAGGAGUCACUUUUCAGUGCAGGUCCUUUUGGCAGCCCUUCUCAAAUUAUAGGCACCUUAUACAACUAGCUGCUUAAAAUCCUUAUCUUCUACCUUUCUUCAACACCAAACUCCUCAGGAAGCUCAUUGAGAGAAGAUAUUUCUAACCAUAAUCUAAGUUCAAAUCUUGCUGCAGUCUAAAACUACUAUCAAGACAGAUUUUUGUCAGCAAUAGUGUAACCCAGUGAUUUAUUUUCCAAAUUUUAAAUCUAAACCACCUGGAUUCUCAUCUCUGCUCUACUGCCAGCUACAAGCUCAGAUAUACAAAUAAGUAACUAUAAAGUUACCUAGUUGAUGGCCACCACAAGGUAAUAAAAGCUGGUUUAGUGCUCUUCUACUGGCAGUAACAGGCAUUUUGAGAUUUAGAGGAGACCGAGGGGAGACCUCCUUGUGGUCUUCAUCCUUAUGAGGGGAAGCAGAUGGGCAGGCAUUAAUUUCUUCUACGUGGUGACAGUGACAGGACUCAAGAGAAUGGCCUGAAGUUGUGUCAGGGAAGGUUUAGGUCAGAUAUCAG
This is a long non-coding RNA of Corvus hawaiiensis (hawaiian crow), 3626 nucleotides long. RefSeq lists it as uncharacterized. Lineage: Eukaryota; Metazoa; Chordata; Aves; Passeriformes; Corvidae. The transcript has 4 exons. The record is from RefSeq and is a predicted model, not a curated record.